Rosa rugosa (rugosa rose) is the source of this 870-nucleotide long non-coding RNA. RefSeq lists it as uncharacterized. NCBI's taxonomy places the organism in Eukaryota, Viridiplantae, Streptophyta, Magnoliopsida, Rosales, Rosaceae. The record is from RefSeq and is a predicted model, not a curated record. The transcript is spliced from 3 exons.
CCGGAGCAGCCUUAGACUUGGAUUCACACCGGAGCCCUAAACAAUUUCGUCAUCUCGAACUUCGAUUCACGCCUUUGAUUCGAUUUGUCUCGAACUUGGUAAGUUCUCGUCGUCUCCUUUACUGUUUUGAUUCAAUUUUGAUUUGGAUUUGUCAGCUUUCGCUCUUCGUUACUGUUUCAAUUCACUGAGAUGCAAAAUUUAGGGUUCUGAUAUUCAUAAGCAGAUCUUAAAAUUGUGCACUCUAGUUACCAGAGUUUAACAGAGACUCGGAUCUCCAUCUCCGACCAUGGAUUCCUAGCCUUUCGAGAGAGAAAAGAACGUGACUUUUCUGGGGAUGAUGUACCAGCUCCUCCCACACCAAUACCAGAUGCAAGAGAUCAACCGCCUCACUCUCGCCUACUUCGUCAUCUCCGGCCUUGACCUCCUCCAUGCUCUCCACAGCGUACGUCAUCCCUCCUCAAUACGUUGCCGUUUAAGGAGUUCAGUUUUUUCAUUCACUAAUUAGAAGUUUGGAUUUUCAUAUUAACAAGGACGCAGUUGCGGAUUGGGUUUUGUCACUACAAGCUCACCUCGGAGACAGCGACCAAGUCAACAAUGGUAUUAAUUGAAUUCAGGGUGUUGAUAUUCAACUUGGAAUGGCAAUUGAUAGUAUAAAAGAAGUAACUCUAGAAGGCUAUUCUUUUUGCGGUUGGCAAUACUCUUGUUUGUGACGAACUUGAUGAGGCUAAGCGCCUAAGCUGGAUUGGUGAGAGGUUCAAAGUUGUAACUAUUGAUGGAAUUAUGCUGUGAAAAUCUGGCACAAUGAUUGGAGGUACCAGUGGAGGAAUGGAAGCUAGAUCAAAACAAUGGGAUAAUAAAAAAGUUGAAGGU